AAGCAUUUAACUCAACUGGUAGAGUAUUUUGUUUACACCAAAAAAGUUAGAGGUUCGAAUCCUCUAAUGCUUA
RNAcentral lists this transfer RNA (73 nucleotides) under Pterocladiella capillacea. Its description in RNAcentral is "tRNA-Val". It matches the Rfam family "tRNA". Rfam says of the family: Transfer RNA (tRNA) molecules are approximately 80 nucleotides in length. Their secondary structure includes four short double-helical elements and three loops (D, anti-codon, and T loops). Further hydrogen bonds mediate the characteristic L-shaped molecular structure. tRNAs have two regions of fundamental functional importance: the anti-codon, which is responsible for specific mRNA codon recognition, and the 3' end, to which the tRNAs corresponding amino acid is attached (by aminoacyl-tRNA synthetases). tRNAs cope with the degeneracy of the genetic code in two manners: having more than one tRNA (with a specific anti-codon) for a particular amino acid; and 'wobble' base-pairing, i.e. permitting non-standard base-pairing at the 3rd anti-codon position. RNAcentral also lists the same sequence under 1 other name. Lineage: Eukaryota; Rhodophyta; Florideophyceae; Gelidiales; Pterocladiaceae. The record is from RNAcentral.